GCCCUACAAGACGGAGGGGCACCGCCAUGAGCCCGAGAUCUCCGAGCAGCUGCGCGGAGCCGGCGGGCGCGAGGUCCCGCUGACCUUCGUUCCGCACCUGCUGCCGCUCGAUCAGGGCGAGCUGGUCUCCUGCUACGUCCGGCCGGCGCGCGAGAUCAG
This 159-nucleotide unclassified non-coding RNA is filed under the name plant metagenome. RNAcentral describes it as "partial contains 5.8S ribosomal RNA, internal transcribed spacer 2, and large subunit ribosomal RNA". The record is from RNAcentral.